Molecule: ribosomal RNA, 449 nt
Filed under: uncultured bacterium
Lineage: Bacteria
Description: partial 16S ribosomal RNA
Rfam family: Bacterial small subunit ribosomal RNA
Source: RNAcentral
AGCGAACGCUGGCGGCAGGCCUAACACAUGCAAGUCGAACGGAUCCUUCGGGAUUAGUGGCGGACGGGUGAGUAACACGUGGGAACGUGCCCCUUGGUUCGGAACAACUCAGGGAAACUUGAGCUAAUACCGGAUGUGCCCUUCGGGGGAAGGAUUUAUCGCCAUUGGAGCGGCCCGCGUCUGAUUAGCUAGUUGGUGAGGUAAAGGCUCACCAAGGCGACGAUCAGUAGCUGGUCUGAGAGGAUGAUCAGCAACAUUGGGACUGAGACACGGCCCAAACACCUACGGGAGGCAGCAGGGGGGAAUCUUGCGCAAUGGGCGAAAGCCUGACGCAGCCAUGCCGCGUGAAUGAUGAAGGUCUUAGGAUUGUAAAAUUCUUUCACCGGGGACGAUAAUGACGGUACCCGGAGAAGAAGCCCCGGCUAACUUCGUGCCAGCAGCCGCCGUAA